GAUGAACGCUAGCGGCAGGCCUAAUACAUGCAAGUCGGACGGGAUUCAGGAGCUUGCUUCUGAUGAGAGUGGCGCACGGGUGCGUAACACGUAUGUAACCUACCUUUAUCAGGGGGAUAGCCUCUCGAAAGAGAGAUUAAGCCCGCAUAAAAUCACAGCACAGCAUUGUGUAAUGAUCAAAUAUUUAUAGGAUAAAGAUGGGCAUGCGGAACAUUAGCUAGAUGGCGGGGUAACGGCCCACCAUGGCGACGAUGUUUAGGGGAUCUGAGAGGAUGGCCCCCCACACUGGUACUGAGACACGGACCAGACGCCUACGGGAGGCAGCAGUAAGGAAUAUUGGUCAAUGGGCGGAAGCCUGAACCAGCCAUGCCGCGUGCAGGAAGACGGCCCUACGGGUUGUAAACUGCUUUUAGACGGGAAUAAACCCAGAUACGUGUAUCUGGCUGAAUGUACUGUAAGAAUAAGGAUCGGCUAACUCCGUG
This 482-nucleotide ribosomal RNA is filed under the name uncultured bacterium. RNAcentral's name for it is "partial 16S ribosomal RNA". It matches the Rfam family "Bacterial small subunit ribosomal RNA", at positions 28 to 507 of the family's 1533-position model. The record is from RNAcentral.